RNAcentral lists this ribosomal RNA (253 nucleotides) under uncultured bacterium. RNAcentral's name for it is "partial 16S ribosomal RNA". It matches the Rfam family "Bacterial small subunit ribosomal RNA", at positions 524 to 776 of the family's 1533-position model. The record is from RNAcentral.
UACGAAGGGGGCUAGCGUUGCUCGGAAUCACUGGGCGUGAAGGGUGCGUAGGCGGGUUUUUAAGUCAGGGGUGAAAUCCUGGAGCUCAACUCCAGAACUGCCUUUGAUACUGAAGAUCUUGAGUCCGGGAGAGGUGAGUGGAACUGCGAGUGUAGAGGUGAAAUUCGUAGAUAUUCGCAAGAACACCAGUGGCGAAGGCGGCUCACUGGCCCGGUACUGACGCUGAGGCACGAAAGCGUGGGGAGCAAACAGG